This 725-nucleotide unclassified non-coding RNA is filed under the name Hevea brasiliensis (rubber tree). Lineage: Eukaryota; Viridiplantae; Streptophyta; Magnoliopsida; Malpighiales; Euphorbiaceae. The record is from RNAcentral.
GGCUGCAGUAUAUUAUUCAGUCAAUCUCUUCUCUUGCUGUAUUGGCAACUCUAGGGAAGUAGAAGAGUACUAACCAUUUACUUGCAGGUCAAUUCCUAUCUCUUCAGUGUUUACUUGCUGAGAUGUUUUGCUAUGAAAACUGAAAUAUUUAUACGGUGCCUUGUGAGAAAUCAGAAUCUCAACAUAUUUUUGUAGGUAUUUCACUUCAUGAUGUUAUGAAGUAUGCAAUAUCAUAACUACUGAUGUUGUGUAGCAAACCUACUUCCAUUUAUGAGUUACUAUUCUGAGUUCUGACAGUGUAAUGGGAAAUUUUUUUACUAAGGUCAAUCCUUGGGAAGAAUACUUGCAAAUAAUAGAUACCCUAAGAUUCAUUUUCAUCCAUUAACUGUGAAAUGAUAGAAAUGUUUAAAUUUGGUGAAUAGUGUAAACUGGGUUUAUAACCAAGCUAGUGCUUGAGUAUUUGAAUGCACUUUGAUGCGCCCCUUGUGUAUGAAAAAUCAAUAUGCUAACUGUAAACAAGAGGUUAAGUGCUACUUUAAACAAAGUUUAAUGUCCACUAGCUGUUUUUAUCACUGUACACUGAAACAGGAAUGGGACCAAUAUUAAACUCAAAUAAGACACUUUCCAUUAGUGUUCUGAUGCACAUUAAAAAGUUAAGAAUAAAACACAUGGGAAGUUUACAAGCAACUGUAAUGCCAAAUUAUGUGUCAGUCUUUGACCAGGAU